GCCAGCCCAGUGUUCAGACUACCUGUUCAGGAGGUGCCGAAUGCGUACAGUAGUCUGCACAUUGGUUAGGC
This 71-nucleotide microRNA precursor is filed under the name Propithecus coquereli (Coquerel's sifaka). RNAcentral describes it as "microRNA 199a-1 (ENSPCOG00000009282.1)". It matches the Rfam family "mir-199 microRNA precursor family", at positions 6 to 74 of the family's 80-position model. Rfam says of the family: This family consists of the microRNA (miRNA) precursor mir-199 which appears to be specific to humans. Animal miRNAs are transcribed as ~70nt precursors and subsequently processed by the Dicer enzyme to give a ~22nt product. Lineage: Eukaryota; Metazoa; Chordata; Mammalia; Primates; Indriidae. The record is from RNAcentral.